GACGAACGCUGGCGGCGUGCUUAACACAUGCAAGUCGAGCGGUAAGGCCCUUUCGGGGGUACGACGAGCGGCGAACGGGUGAGUAACACGUGGGUGACCUGCCCUCAGCUCUGGGAUAAGCCUGGGAAACCGGGUCUAAUACUGGAUAUGACUCCAUGACGCAUGUUGUGGGGUGGAAAGCCUUGUGCGGCUGAGGAUGGGCCCGCGGCCUAUCAGCUUGUUGGUGGGGGUGANGGGCCUACCAAGGCGACGACGGGUAGCCGGCCUGAGAGGGCGACCGGCCACACUGGGACUGAGACACGGCCCAGACUCCUACGGGAGGCAGCAGUGGGGAAUCUUGCGCAAUGGGCGAAAGCCUGACGCAGCGGCGCCGCGUGAGGGAUGACGGCCU
Molecule: ribosomal RNA, 391 nt
Filed under: uncultured bacterium
Lineage: Bacteria
Description: bacterial SSU rRNA
Rfam family: Bacterial small subunit ribosomal RNA
Source: RNAcentral